GGGCUCGUGGUCUAGCGGUUAUGACGUCGCCCUCACACGGCGGAGGUCGGGGGUUCGAAUCCCCCCGAGCCCA
RNAcentral lists this transfer RNA (73 nucleotides) under Archaeoglobus sp. RNAcentral describes it as "tRNA-Val". It matches the Rfam family "tRNA". Rfam says of the family: Transfer RNA (tRNA) molecules are approximately 80 nucleotides in length. Their secondary structure includes four short double-helical elements and three loops (D, anti-codon, and T loops). RNAcentral also lists the same sequence under 3 other names. Lineage: Archaea; Methanobacteriati; Methanobacteriota; Archaeoglobi; Archaeoglobales; Archaeoglobaceae. The record is from RNAcentral.